This 406-nucleotide ribosomal RNA is filed under the name uncultured bacterium. RNAcentral's name for it is "partial 16S ribosomal RNA". It matches the Rfam family "Bacterial small subunit ribosomal RNA", at positions 30 to 526 of the family's 1533-position model. The record is from RNAcentral.
AUUGAACGCUGGCGGCAGGCCUAACACAUGCAAGUCGAACGAGUGGCGGACGGGUGAGUAAUGUCUGGGAAACUGCCUGAUGGAGGGGGAUAACUACUGGAAACGGUAGCUAAUACCGCAUACCCUCGGAUGUGCCCAGAUGGGAUUAGCUAGUAGGUGGGGUAAAUGCUCACCUAGGCGACGAUCCCUAGCUGGUCUGAGAGGAUGACCAGCCACACUGGAACUGAGACACUGUCCAGACUCCUACGGGAGGCAGCAGUGGGGAAUAGGGCAAGAGGGGCGCAAGCCUGAUGCAGCCAUGCCACGUGUGUGAAGAAGGCCUUCGGGUUGUAAAGCACUUGCAGCGAGGAGGCGUUGCUCGCAGAAGAAGCACCGGCUAACUCCGUGCCAGCAGCCGCGGAAAUAC